AGAGUUUGAUCAUGGCUCAGGAUGAACGCUAGCGGCAGGCUUAAUACAUGCAAGUCGAGGGGCAGCACAGGUAGCAAUACUGGGUGGCGACCGGCAAACGGGUGCGGAACACGUACGCAACCUUCCUUUAAGCGGAGAAUAGCCCAGGGAAACUUGGAUUAAUACUCCAUAAGAUUAUGGUGUGGCAUCACACAGUAAUUAAAGCUCCGGCACUUAAAGAUGGGCGUGCGGCUGAUUAGGUAGUUGGCGGGGUAACGGCCCGCCAAGCCAACGAUCAGUAACUGGUGUGAGAGCACGACCAGUCACACGGGCACUGAGACACGGGCCCGACUCCUACGGGAGGCAGCAGUAAGGAAUAUUGGUCAAUGGACGCAAGUCUGAACCAGCCAUGCCGCGUGGAGGAUGAAGGCCCUCUGGGUUGUAAACUUCUUUUAUUUGGGAAGAAACCCAUCUUUUCUAAGGUGGUUGACGGUACCAGAUGAAUAAGCACCGGCUAACUCCGUGCCAGCAGCCGCGGUAAUACGGAGGGUGCAAGCGUUAUCCGGAUUCACUGGGUUUAAAGGGUGCGUAGGUGGGCAGGUAAGUCAGUGGUGAAAUCUCCGGGCUUAACCCGGAAACUGCCGUUGAUACUAUCUGUCUUGAAUAUAGUGGAGGUGAGCGGAAUAUGUCAUGUAGCGGUGAAAUGCUUAGAUAUGACAUAGAACACCCAUUGCGAAGGCAGCUCGCUACACUAUCAUUGACACUGAGGCACGAAAGCGUGGGGAUCAAACAGGAUUAGAUACCCUAGUAGUCC
RNAcentral lists this ribosomal RNA (793 nucleotides) under uncultured bacterium. Its description in RNAcentral is "bacterial SSU rRNA". It matches the Rfam family "Bacterial small subunit ribosomal RNA", at positions 8 to 796 of the family's 1533-position model. The record is from RNAcentral.